AGUGAACGCUGGCGGUAGGCCUAACACAUGCAAGUCGAACGGCAGCACAGUAAGAGCUUGCUCUUACGGGUGGCGAGUGGCGUACGGGUGAGGAAUACAUCGGAAUCUACUUUUUCGUGGGGGAUAACGUAGGGAAACUUACGCUAAUACCGCAUACGACCUACGGGUGAAAGCAGGGGAUCUUCGUACCUUGCGCGAUUGAAUGAGCCGAUGUCGGAUUAGCUAGUUGGCGGGGUAAAGGCCCACCAAGGCGACGAUCCGUAGCUGGUCUGAGAGGAUGAGCAGCCAAACUGGAACUGAGACACGGUCCAGACUCCUACGGGAGGCAGCAGUGGGGAAUAUUGGACAAUGGGCGCAAGCCUGAUCCAGCCAUACCGCGUGGGUGAAGAAGGCCUUCGGGUUGUAAAGCCCUUUUGUUGGGAAAGAAAAGCAGCAGGUUAAUACCCCGCUGUUCUGACGGUACCCAAAGAAUAAGCACCGGCUAACUUCGUG
Molecule: ribosomal RNA, 492 nt
Filed under: uncultured bacterium
Lineage: Bacteria
Description: partial 16S ribosomal RNA
Rfam family: Bacterial small subunit ribosomal RNA
Source: RNAcentral